GUUGGAGUGGUAUUUUUGGUGAAAAAUGGUGAAAUUUGGUGGGAAAUGGUGGAAUGAUUUAUGGGUUGGAGUUGCCCUUAAGACAAAAAAUCUUAGAGCCUAUUUGAGAGUGUUUUUUUACCGUUAUUUCACUAUUUAAGUUGUCAUAUUUGACUUUUUCUCUUACAGGUGGACCCCACUUUUCUUCUAAUAGUCAAAAAAUCAAUUCUCAAAAUCAUUCCCAAACAAGCUCUUAGUAUUUUUUACUUUUUGUCAAAAUUUUAUUUUAAUUUUUCAAAAAAGACACCACUAGAUGGAUUAUUGCUUUAAUAUUUGCGAGAGAAUCUAUUUGAUUUGAUUUGUUUUUUUUAUUAUUAUUUCAUUCCAUUAUUAAGAUAUCGAUUUAAUAUUUCGUCAUUGACAUUACAAUUAACAUAACUGCAUGUACAUAUAAUUUGGAAAAGUACAUUGAACCGAUAAAAGGAACACCACAACUACGGGCAGCGUAGUUGCAGAGUAGAGAUAGACUUAGCGUAGCCACCAGGUACACCGGUCGUCCCUUGAUCUGGUGUCGCAGAAGUUUAUUUUUAUCACCUCCGCCAGCAGGUGGACGUCCGCGGCCCGUUGUCGUGGCUUUAGGAUAAUCCGGCAGAGUGGACAUGUUCUGUGUCCAUAUCCUACCCACCUAUCUAAGCAAACCCUGUGAUAAAGAUGGUGGCAUCUCAGCUCUCUAACCUCAUCCCCUUCAUCAAUUCUGCAUAGGCAAACAGCACACUCUACCGAUGAAUCCCCACACUCUGCAUUACUAUUAUUUUCAUAACUCAUUACGUUAAGGUCAUCAGCAUAGUCUGGUAAUUCGAUUCCACGAGGCUGAAAGAAGGAUUGGUGAAGAAGGAUAUCCCAUGCCCACUUCAGCUGGGAUGAAAUAAGAAUUAUGUAUUUCAAUACAACUGACUUCAUCCUAUGCGUAAAGAUAAUAGUUUCUUGGGACACUUCUGCUGUAGCUUGUUUUGAAAGGGAAGGGGUGAAGCGGGUGCAGUAUUGCUUCUCUAUGGCACCUGUGGGAUGUGCAUUUGGCCAUUUAGGUAUAUAUAG
RNAcentral lists this long non-coding RNA (1074 nucleotides) under Olea europaea subsp. europaea. Lineage: Eukaryota; Viridiplantae; Streptophyta; Magnoliopsida; Lamiales; Oleaceae. The record is from RNAcentral.